CUUCGGAAUGAUUUUAAGUGGAUUAGUGGCGGACGGGUGAGUAACGCGUGAGUAACCUGCCUUGCACAAGGGGAUAGCCGUUGGAAACGACGAAUAAUACCCUAUGAUAUAAACUCUUCGCAUGAAGAGCUUAUCAAAGAUUUAUCGGUGUAAGAUGGACUCGCGUCUGAUUAGCUAGUUGGUGGGGUAAAAGCCUACCAAGGCAACGAUCAGUAGCCGGCUUGAGAGAGUGUACGGCCACAUUGGGACUGAGACACGGCCCAGACUCCUACGGGAGGCAGCAGUGGGGAAUUUUGCACAAUGGGGGCAACCCUGAUGCAGCGACGCCGCGUGAUUUAGAAGGCCUUCGGGUUGUAAAAAUCUUUUGUAUGGGAAGAAAAUGACAGUACCAUACGAAUAAGGACCGGCUAAUUACGUGCCAGCAGCCGCGGUAAUACGUAAGGUCCGAGCGUUGUCCGGAAUCAUUGGGCGUAAAGGGUACGUAGGCGGAUAAGCAAGUUAGAAGUGAAAUCCUAUAGCUCAACUAUAGUAAGCUUUUAAAACUGCUCAUCUUGAGGUAUGGAAGGGAAAGUGGAAUUCCUAGUGUAGCGGUGAAAUGCGCAGAUAUUAGGAGGAAUACCGGUGGCGAAGGCGACUUUCUGGCCAUAAACUGACGCUGAGGUACGAAAGCGUGGGUAGCAAACAGGAUUAGAUACCCUGGUAGUCCACGCCGUAAACGAUGAGUGUUAGGUGUCUGGAAUAAUCUGGGUCCGCAGCUACG
This 760-nucleotide ribosomal RNA is filed under the name uncultured Clostridia bacterium. RNAcentral describes it as "bacterial SSU rRNA". It matches the Rfam family "Bacterial small subunit ribosomal RNA", at positions 72 to 856 of the family's 1533-position model. The record is from RNAcentral. Lineage: Bacteria; Bacillati; Bacillota; Clostridia.